GGGGACGCGGGAGACCGCAGCUGGACACGCGGAGUUGCGCUGGCGUGGGCGCCUCGCCUGACCCGGGUAGAUGCGGUGGAGGGUUGUGUGCCUGUGAUCUCCUUGCGGGAACAGCUUUGGAGGUCAGUGCCUGAUAGAAAAGAUGAAACUGAGGUCCGGGCAGGUCCUUCGUAAGGCGACAGCAUUCUGUAUAAUAAUAGCAGUCAUCUAAUGAGCGUAAACCGUGCACAAAGCUCGUUUCCUCCAGUAGCUCCUUUCAUGUUAACAAGAUACUGCAUUUUUUACACAUUGAAGGUUUGUAGCAACCCUGCAUAGAGCAAGUCUAUGGGCACCAUUUUCCCAGCCGCACCUGCACACUUGGUGUCUGUGUCAUGUUUUAGUAAGCUUGGAAAGGAGCCCCCAACCACCCAUCCAUUUGCCCAAGGAUUGCUGACAGGCAUUUGCAUCGGAGAGACUUUCAUCUCCAGAGGAGAGAGGUCAGGAAAAUUAAUCCAUUGCUGGCCAACAACCUGACCCAGAAGAAACUGAGUGGUCCACCCCCUGCCCCCAAAAAAUUUUGGACUGGUGAGCACUGAACCCCUAAGAACUCUGGCUUUGGGGGAUCUUGCCUGAGUCGGAGAGGAUGCUGGGAGGCCCUUACCACACAGUGCCAGCCUGGAGGGCCUGGGACACGUAAUUGGCCUUGUCCAAGUCCUUUGUGAAGACAGCUGCAGCCAGUCCGUACUUGGAAUUGUUGGCUCUCUCGAUGACUUCCUCUAUGGUCCUGAACUUCAGGAUCUGCAUCACUGGCCCAAAGAUCUGCAGUGAGAGCAGAGUAGGGUGAACCCUGCUACCCAGCUUUCUCCGCUGGGCAGAUGAUUCCAGAUGUGGCACUGAGACCCCAGACGUAUCCUCACGGUUCCAAAGGGAGCAGACAGUUCCCAUGCUCAUCAAAUCACUAGGGGAAGAAAGCUAACAGGGACCAAUUACUUUCUAUGUGCCACAUGCUUUACAUAUGGGCCGUUAACAGUCUCAACCCAGCUGGGCGGAGUAGAGAGUCUGCACCCCGCGAGGAUGGAGACCUUGUCUCAGAGACCCCUGUACCUCCAAGUUCUGCAGAGGGGCUUGCACACAACCACUCGCUCCCUUUUCGCACUGCAAGAACAAGGAGAAACAGGAAACCUGAGCCCUUACCGGAGACAUUUGAGGACCAUGUCCAAAUCCACCAGGUAGGAGGUGAUGUAGGGUUUGCCGUUGUCCAGGGUCUCCAAGGCCUGAGAAAAAAAAAGGUCAGCACAGUGCAGGGGAGAAACAAAGCAAGCAGGCUGACGGGCAGUGUUGGAGUGUGCACCGACGGGGGCUGGCAGGAGCCAGGGGUGACAGGCCCCUUUGUGCCACUGAACGCCACUGGCUGGUAAGUGUGUGGACACUUCUGGACCACUGCCCCUCCCUCUCCAAAGGCGGCAGGGGUGGGAAUGAGGCGCCAACUCGUCAUUCAGUCAUUUCACAAGCAUUUUUUGCUAGAACUAGGUGCUGGGAACACAGCUACGAGCAUGGAGCUUAUAGAGCGGAGAGAGGGCGAAUAAUGACAAAGCCAUCAGCGUAUGUGUUCAGAGGGCAGGGAAGGAGAAGGUCAGACCUUCUCACCAGGUCCCAGAAACACCUCCCUAGGGGUGCCCUUUAGGUUUGAGCCUGAAGGGUAUGUGGGAGGGAACUCAGCCCAAGGCAAGGGACAAACAGCAACAAAGGGAAGCACAUCCCAGGCAGAGGGAACAGCGUGCAGAGGCCUGAGGCUUGAAGACACUUGGCAGUGAAGACCCUGAUGGAUGCUGGCAAGGCCGAGCUGCGUGUGUGAGGGGCGAGCCCGGCGCGGGCUGUGGUGAAGCCAGACCAGGCAGGGCCUUGCGGACUGUGUCAAGGGAACAGGACUUUAUCCUAAGGACAGAGGAUGCCAUGGGCAGCUUAAGAAGGGAGUGCUGUGGCAUAAUUUGCCUUCUAGAAGGUUCACGCUGGGUGCCGUAUGCAGGAUGGAUUGGGUAGAGGGGAAGGUACUGCCUACCUUUUGGUUUCUUCCACCUUUCACAGCCAGGAGAAGGCACACCGCGCAGAGGGGGACGGGAGAGAGGUCCAUCCCUGGGGCUCUGUCUCCAGGAAAGCCUCCCCAGCAUGGCUCCUCUCCUUCCCCCAGUCUCUUCCUGUCUGAGCCAAACCUAUAGUGUACUGGGGUGAAUGCUGACCCCCCCAUCCCUGCUGGAUUAGGUGUGGGCCCUGAUGCAAUGAUCGGCAUCCUUAUAAGAAGGAAAUAUGGACACAGACCCAGACACGAGAGGAGAAGGCCACUGGAGACAGGAAGAGGUAGGAGUGAUGCGCCUACAAGCCAAGGAACACUAAGGAGGACCUCACAGCCACCAGAAGCUGGUGGGGAGCCUGGCCCUGCCAAUAUCUUGAUUUUGGACCUUCAGCCUCCAAGACUAGGAGAAAAUACAUUUCUGUGGUUUUAAGCCCUCAGUUUUAUGGUAUUUUGUUACAGCAGCCAUGGGAAACUGAUGCACACUGCAUCCAAGGCAGAAGUGAGAGGCUCUUCUGGUUGUGUGCACGGGCGUGACCCAAAUGUGUCCACCCUGAGCCAUUCCGACCAGCUGCUCGUUGGCGGCGUGGGCCUGCCUGUUUGCAGAUGCCUCGAGCCCAUUUGCUAUGCGGGAUGAGAGGGGACAGGGCUGAGGACUCACCGCCAGGUAGCUGCGGUCCCGCUCAAUCAAAUCAGCCAGACGGUACAGUAGCCGGCCCCUUUCAGAAGCGUCCAUCCGGCGCCAGGGCGAACCCAGCCGGAACGCGGCCCGAGCAGCCUUCACAGCCCUGUCCACGUCUUCCUGGAAAACACCCACUGAAGCAGCUCAGGCUUCUCACUGACACCCUCCUCCAAAUACCACCCACCCCUCUGCCAAACACACCCACAGAGGCUUCUGGGCACAGACUGGCCACGCAGUCCAGGCUCGUGCAGGGGUCCCUCAGAAUCACUGCUUUCAGGCGGCCUCUCUCGUCCCAGAGUUCCCCCUGACAAGCUUCAGGCUUUACCAACAGGGCGAAUAACAAAACCUCUUCUCUCCUUCCCAGUGGUCACGGAAGGAAAGAGAAUCGUGGCAGUUUCUAUUUUCAUAUUUUCCUCUCAAAAUCCCCCAAGAGUUUUGGAGAGAGGAGCCACUUAAAGUUCACUAUCUGGAAAUUUUAUCAUUUUUCCCUCUGCCUAAGAAAGCCCAGCAGAAUUAUCCAUUUCUUCUAUGAUGAUGCAUUUUCCAACAAAUGCCGGUGAACCAGCCUCCCUCUCCUUAGGGAAGCAGUAAAAUAAACACAACUAGCAUUUUUCAUAUAGGGAGAUGUCUAUCUGGAAGCAGGAAGCACAGUUUUCAUCAAUAUUAAACUCCUUACUAUCAGGCUACUCCAUGAACCAGAAAGAUAUUCACAUUUGCUUUUAGCAGAGGGGGCGGGGGCUUAGACUGGAAUACAGAGAUGGUCUUACAGAAGGGCACUCUUGAAUUAUUAAUGCCUUGUCUAUGAAAAAUGAAGUGAUUUCACUAAGUGUAUAAGACAACUAAUUUUUUAAUCAAACAUAAUUUACUACCUAUCUAGGACUAGAUCUUAGGAGACCCAACUUCUAUUCAAUAAGAUUCCCAUCUAGCUGUACUCCUCCCUUCUCUGACCUUCAUCUUCUGGGUCUGGAAAGGACAGACUGGAUUAGAGGCUCCCAAAUUCACUCCCAAGCCUGGAAUUCCACACGCUACGUAUUAUCAAACCCAGGUAGCUUUUUCUGAAGUGACAUUUACUUGAUUUUUUCUUUCAAAUUUUUAACCAUUUUCUAAAUUAUAAAAGCAAUGCACGUUCAUGGUAAAGUUUCAACCAUACAAAACCAUAUAAAAUAAAAAACAAAAUCACCCUUGCCCAUUGUCCACCCUCCCUGUCCUGGCCCUGAGCUAAAUAAGUCAUCCUCACCUUGUCCCCUUCAGCCACCUGACAGAUGACCUCCCCAGUGGAUGGGUUGACAGUGGGGAACGUUUUCUUGCUGAUGGCAUCAUGCCAUUCGUUGUCUAUGAAGAUCUACGAUGAGAGAGGAGAAAAGUUUUCAGGAUCAGCUCUCAACUCAAUUCUAACCAUGAGCAAUAUUUUCAAAUAUAUAACAAACAUGAAUGCGUAUGAAUUAGCCUCGGGACAGUGCAGCCUUGGAGCCCACUGGAGUUGGCCACCUUGGGCUUCAUGGCCUUGGGCAAGUCGAAUGACCUCUCGGAGACUUCGUUUCUUCUGUCUGAAAAAUGAGGAGACUGGCUCUCCCGUUCCAGCUUGCUACUGCCGGGUAACUCGGUGGCUCAGAGGAAGGAGCUGUUAUUACCACUCACAGCCGUGUCCUGUGUCCGUAACCUGCAGUCCCGGGGCGUGGGCUGACGUGCCAGGUGGCUUCCCCACUCGUGCCAGCAGGGGGCGCUGCCUCCCUGUGCCCAGGCUCACUCCCUGCCUGCAUGGCUGUUUCAGGAUCAACAGACCUGGCACGUGGCAGCUGCCUUCCCAAGAAGACCCUGGAGGAGGCUCCACGGCCUCUUAAGACCUAGCUUCGGAAGCCACAUGCUGCUGGUCAAAGUGAGUCCCAGGCCCAGGCCAGAUCCCCAGGGAGGGGGAAAGUGCCUGCACCUCUGCUUGGCAGGAGCUGCAGAGGAUCUGCAACCAUCUCCACCCUAUCACAGCACUGCAGAAAGUUGCUGUGAGGACUGAAUUACAUGAUUCUUUCAUUUGCUCAGCAAAUAUUUAGCGAGUAUCUGCCGUGUGCUGUUCUGGGGCAGAGGACAUGGUGGAGAACAAAACCACAAAGGCCUUGGAGGUAGGAGUUGUCAGGAGGGCCUCUCUGAGGAGCAGACAUGUGACGUGAGCCCUGAAAGACAAGGAGCCACAGGACGACCAGCGGUCCACGCAGUAGGUAUUGCAAGUGCAAAGGCCCUGGGGCAGGAAUGAGUCUGGUGCUUUUGAGAAAAAAACAAAGGCAGCCAGGGUGGCUGGUGAGCCAGGAAGGAAGUGAGA
Molecule: long non-coding RNA, 5040 nt
Organism: Choloepus didactylus (southern two-toed sloth)
Lineage: Eukaryota; Metazoa; Chordata; Mammalia; Pilosa; Megalonychidae
Exons: 5
Source: RefSeq, a predicted model, not a curated record